CCUACGGGAGGCAGCAGUGAGGAAUAUUGGUCAAUGGGCGGGAGCCUGAACCAGCCAAGUCGCGUGAGGGAAGACGGUCCUAUGGAUUGUAAACCUCUUUAGGCGGGGAGCAAUGCCGGGCACGCGUGCCCGGAGGGAGAGUACCCGCAGAAUAAGCAUCGGCUAACUCCGUGCCAGCAGCCGCGGUAAUACGGGGGAUGCGAGCGUUAUCCGGAUUUAUGGGGUUAAAAGGGUGCGUAGGCGGAUUUUUAAGUCAGCGGUAAAAUGUCCGGGCUCAACCCGGGCCGGCCGUUGAAACUGGGGAUCUUGAGUGGGCGAGAGGUAUGCGGAAUGCGUGGUGUAGCGGUGAAAUGCAUAGAUAUCACGAAGAACUCCGAUUGCGAAGGCAGCAUACCGACGCCCGACUGACGCUGAGGCACGAAAGCGUGGGGAUCGAACAGGAUUAGAUACCCCAGUAGUC
This 460-nucleotide ribosomal RNA is filed under the name uncultured bacterium. Its description in RNAcentral is "partial 16S ribosomal RNA". It matches the Rfam family "Bacterial small subunit ribosomal RNA", at positions 338 to 795 of the family's 1533-position model. The record is from RNAcentral.